UCUUACUAAUUGUAUUUGUUUUUUUAACAUUAAAAAUGGUUUUUAACUAUUAUUAAUUUCUGUAAUAUAUCAAAAUCUGUAAUAUUUGGGGGUCACAUUGUUAUACACUUACCGGUUUAGGAAUACAGCUCCUUGUGAAUAAUAUUUUUUUACUAUUUGGAGUAACAAUUUUCUUUACCUCUAACAAUGUCCCUUUAUCUAUUGGUCUGAUAGUAACCUGCCAGGUUUUUAUUUUUCAUCACCUUUUCCUACUUUCAUUAUGAUUAAGCUUUAGUCCACUUUUAAAUAACUGGAGUCAGGUUUUAUUAGUUUUGAUACAAGCUGAGAAACCUCCUUUUU
Molecule: long non-coding RNA, 339 nt
Organism: Phyllostomus discolor (pale spear-nosed bat)
Lineage: Eukaryota; Metazoa; Chordata; Mammalia; Chiroptera; Phyllostomidae
Exons: 2
Source: RefSeq, a predicted model, not a curated record